GUCAGAAUGGUGUAGUGGCUUGAGUGUUGGACUAGGACUCUGGGGACCAGGGUUCAAAUCCUUGUUCAGCCA
Non-coding RNA from Phrynosoma platyrhinos (Desert horned lizard), 72 nucleotides. Lineage: Eukaryota; Metazoa; Chordata; Lepidosauria; Squamata; Phrynosomatidae. The record is from the annotation of a GenBank genome assembly.